This 786-nucleotide long non-coding RNA is filed under the name Ananas comosus (pineapple). Its description in RNAcentral is "long non-coding RNA (ACOM_LNC005789)". The record is from RNAcentral. Lineage: Eukaryota; Viridiplantae; Streptophyta; Magnoliopsida; Poales; Bromeliaceae.
UAAAAAUGUUGUUUAUAAAAGUUUUUUUUUCGUUUUUUUUUUUUGAGAGAGAUUGGUAGCACGCUAUCCGCUUCGUUUAUUUCAUUUAGAAAUAAACUUAGCUAAAAAUGUGAAUCAACUAGGAUUCAAACUUCGUUUAUAAAAAUAUUGCCACUUGCUCUAAGUACAGUCGGUAUGUUGUUUAUAAAAGUUUUUAAAAAAUAAUGUCAAAUAAGAUUUUGAAAUGUAAAGUAAGAAAUUUGGUAAAGUUUGGGAGGCCAAUGUUACAAUUUAUCUUAGGAAAAUACUAUAUGUAUUUCUAUAUAAACAUAUAAAUCUUACAAAGAGAGUUUUCUAUAUGAUUCACACAUAAUUUAUAAUUUAUAGAUAUAUAGAUAGGAUUACUCUUGUCUUAUAAUAAAUUACUAAAAGUACUCUAUCAAACUCUAUACUAAAGUUGAAACCAAAUGCCGUUCCUCCAUCGAGCCACGUGGUCUGAACAUUAAAUACAAUGUGCAUGAACAUUAAAUAUAAUGUGCCACGUGUCUCUCUCUCCCUCACAUGCUCUCCCUGUGCAUGAACCAAAAUAAUUCAUUCACAUAGAAUAUUGCCAUGUACUAUUGCUAUCUUGCUAAUCAUUAGGGUGCAUGCAUCCACCUCCCAGCUUUUCCUAUAUAUCUAGCAUUGUUCACUAUCAAACAAAUGUAUGAAUGUGUAUACUUGUCUCUACUUAUUUGUUCCUUCCAGUUUUAUCAGUAGUGCUAGAACAUAUUCUCGACCUUGCUAUAUUUGUUUUGAAAUUAUUUG